CGUGGCUCUUCCCUGCCUGUGAGCCUGGAAAGUACCAGAAUAAAUAAUCCAGGCAUUCUUUCUUUGGAUGUGGAUAGUGUUCUUUCUCAUAAGUUCCUCUGGAUUGUUCCGGAUCAUGUGAUAUAGACUUUGAAUGACAGAGGCUGGAAGAAAUGCAAAGGUGUUGGAAUCUUGAGGGAAGAGGAGAUUCCAGGGGAUAGGCAGAUGGUCUCUCUCUCUCUAUCCUGAGACAGCAAUGGGGAAAGUCUGAUCUAAGUCUGGAUCCUAUGUAACAUACAAAAUCCCUCAUUGAACCUUAUCACCAUUUCCCACCAAAGAUACCAAGAAGUGUGACAGAAAUUGGAGAAGAAUAAGAAGCAGCCUAACAAGAUCUUGCACAGCUUCUUGACACUCUGGGUCUGGACAUUUCCUCUGCUGUGAUGAAGACCAGGGGUUACAAACCUGAACCUCUCAGAGAUCAGGCUAGCAAGCCUGAGUCUCUCAACUUUGGAGGGAGGGAAGGGAGAUUUAGACAGACAGGUGUUCAGUCCAGUUCUGGUUCGGAUUCCAAGGAGGACACACACGGUGAUGCAAUUCACAAAAGGAAUCUUCCGUUGAUUCUUUCAACAGCAGAAAGAUAAUCACCACUGAGAAGUCACAAUGAUACUCUGUCUCCUCCAGGACUGGCACAGGAAACUGAAUUGCCUUGGGAAGAUUCUGAACAUCACCUGUCAAGAUAAUGACCCAGACACUAAAGUCCUUUCUUGAAAUGAAUAAUCAAGAGUUCAAACUCUACCAUAGAG
Molecule: long non-coding RNA, 782 nt
Filed under: Monodelphis domestica (gray short-tailed opossum)
Lineage: Eukaryota; Metazoa; Chordata; Mammalia; Didelphimorphia; Didelphidae
Description: lncRNA (ENSMODG00000032994.2)
Source: RNAcentral